Molecule: ribosomal RNA, 218 nt
Filed under: uncultured bacterium
Lineage: Bacteria
Description: partial 16S ribosomal RNA
Rfam family: Bacterial small subunit ribosomal RNA
Source: RNAcentral
GACGAACGCUGGCGGCAGGCCUAACACAUGCAAGUCGAACGGCAGCACAGGGGUAGCAAUACCCUGGGUGGCGAGUGGCGGACGGGUGAGGAAUACGUCGGAAUCUGCCUAUUUGUGGGGGAUAACGUAGGGAAACUUACGCUAAUACCGCAUACGCCCUACCGGGGAAAGGACGGAGGACCGUCGGCGUUCGCGCAGAUAGAUGAGCCGACGUCGGA